UACGAAGGGGGCUAGCGUUGCUCGGAAUUACUGGGCGUAAAGGGCGCGUAGGCGGGUCGUUUAGUUAGAGGUGAAAGCCCAGGGCUCAACCCUGGAAUUGCCUUUAAUACUGGCGGCCUUGAGUAUGGCAGAGGUGUGUGGAACUCCGAGUGUAGAGGUGAAAUUCGUAGAUAUUCGCAAGAACACCAGUGGCGAAGGCGGCUCACUGGCCCGAUACUGACGCUGAGGCACGAAAGCGUGGGGAGCAAACAGG
RNAcentral lists this ribosomal RNA (253 nucleotides) under uncultured bacterium. Its description in RNAcentral is "partial 16S ribosomal RNA". It matches the Rfam family "Bacterial small subunit ribosomal RNA", at positions 524 to 776 of the family's 1533-position model. The record is from RNAcentral.